This 20-nucleotide microRNA is filed under the name Oryza sativa (Asian cultivated rice). RNAcentral's name for it is "osa-miR2098-5p". The record is from miRBase by way of RNAcentral. Lineage: Eukaryota; Viridiplantae; Streptophyta; Magnoliopsida; Poales; Poaceae.
UCCCGUGGAGGCAGCCGAUG